AGUGAACGCUGGCGGCAUGCCUUACACAUGCAAGUCGAACGGCAACGCGCUUUGAGGUGCCUACUAGUGGUGGCGGGGUGAGUAAUACAGCCGAACGCGCCCGAUCCUGCUUGUUAACGGGGCGUAACGUUCGGUAAUACCCCCUACGAUCGAAGCAUGAAAGCGGGGGACCGCAAGGCCUCUUGGGGCCUGAGGGGCCGGUGUCAGACUAUGUAGUUGUUGGGAUAUAAGCUUACCAAGCCCACGAUCGGUAGCUGUUCUGAGAGGAUGAUCAGCCACACUGGAACUGAGACACGGUCCAGACUCCUACGGGAGGCAGCAGUGGGGAAUAUUGGACAAUGGGCGCAAGCCUGAUCCAGCCAUGCCGCGUGCAGGAUGAAGGCCUUCGGGUUGUAAACCGCUUUUGUACGGAAAGAAAAGCAUUCUUUUAAUACAGGAGGGUCAUGACGGUACCGAAAGAAUAAGCACCGGCUAACUACGUG
This 482-nucleotide ribosomal RNA is filed under the name uncultured bacterium. RNAcentral's name for it is "partial 16S ribosomal RNA". It matches the Rfam family "Bacterial small subunit ribosomal RNA", at positions 29 to 507 of the family's 1533-position model. The record is from RNAcentral.